AUGGAUACAACCUUUACCUCUGGUUACUCUUCAAUUCUUCUUAGUGGAGUUCCAGGCAAGCAAAUUCAAUGCAAAAGAGGGGUCAGACAAGGAGAUCCCCUAUCUCAAUUGCCAUUUGUCCUUGCAGCCGAUCUGCUACAAUUAGUAAUGAAUGAAGCUUUGCACAAUCACCUCCUUCAGAAACCUCUGGAAGCUCAUCCCUGCCCUGACUUUCCAGUCAUCCAAUAUGUUGAUGAUACAGUUCUCAUAAUGCCAACAUGCAUAGUACAAGUGGAGCAACUCAAGAACCUUUUGCUACACUUCUCUGUUUAUAAAGGGCUAAGAAUUAACUAUGAGAAAUCUGCUAUGGUUCCAAUCAACACCACUCCUGCCAAGAUGGAAAUUUUAGCAAAUUCUUUGGGCUGCAGCAUUGGUUCUUUCCCUUUCACCUACCUUGGGCUCCCUCUCAGCUUAACUAAGCCUACAUUGGAAGAUUUUGUGCCAGUAAUCAAAAGAAUUGACAAGAGACUAGGUGCAUGCUCAGCAUUGCUAUCUUAUGUUGAUAAGCUCACAUUAAUCAAACUAGUCUUUACUAGGCUGCCUACAUUCUUCAUGUGUACACUCAUGUUACCUACCAGCAUUGUGGAACAAAUCAAUAAAUAUCUGAGACGCUAUUUUUGGAGAAAAUAUGGCAUGGAAGACAAAGGUACUACACUGAUUUCAUGGGACAAAGUAUGUAUACCUAAAGACCAAGGGGGGCUUGGAGUCUACACAUUGCAACACACAACAAAUGUCUGCUCAUGA
RNAcentral lists this ribosomal RNA (783 nucleotides) under Triticum aestivum (bread wheat). Its description in RNAcentral is "partial small subunit ribosomal RNA". The record is from RNAcentral. Lineage: Eukaryota; Viridiplantae; Streptophyta; Magnoliopsida; Poales; Poaceae.